AGAGUUUGAUCCUGGCUCAGAACGAACGCUGGCGGCAUGCCUAACACAUGCGAGUCGAACGAGGGUCCCAGCUUGCUGGGGUGCCCUAGUGGCGGACGGGUGAGUAACGCGUGGGAACCUGCCUUGGAGUGAAGGAUAACCACUGGAAACGGUGGCUAAUACUGCAUACGCCCUUCGGGGGAAAGGCUUCGGCCGCUCUUAGAUGGUCCCGCGUCUGAUUAGCUUGUUGGUGGGGUAACGGCCUACCAAGGCGACGAUCAGUAGCUGGUCUGAGAGGAUGAUCAGCCACACUGGGACUGAGACACGGCCCAGACUCCUACGGGAGGCAGCAGUGGGGAAUAUUGGACAAUGGGGGAAACCCUGAUCCAGCAAUGCCGCGUGAGUGAAGAAGGCCCUAGGGUUGUAAAACUCUUUCACUGAUGAAGAUGAUGACGGUAAUCAGAGAAGAAGCCCCGGCUAACUCCGUGCCAGCAGCCGCGGUAAUACGGAGGGGGCUAGCGUUGUUCGGAAUUACUGGGCGUAAAGCGCACGUAGGCGGCGUAUUUAGUUAGAGGUGAAAGGCCUGGGCUCAACCCGGGAAACUGCCUUUAAUACUGAUAUGCUUGAGUAC
RNAcentral lists this ribosomal RNA (610 nucleotides) under uncultured Alphaproteobacteria bacterium. Its description in RNAcentral is "bacterial SSU rRNA". It matches the Rfam family "Bacterial small subunit ribosomal RNA", at positions 8 to 649 of the family's 1533-position model. The record is from RNAcentral. Lineage: Bacteria; Pseudomonadati; Pseudomonadota; Alphaproteobacteria.